GGUGGGCUUCAUGCGUUAAAUCUUUUUCAUAUCCAAAAUACACAGAAUAAGAGGACAGAGAAGGAGAAAGCAGGGUUUGCCUUGUUCUUGGACAGCCAUCAUCCCUGCAGCAAGAGAAAGCUCAUUUCUCUGAGUAUUACAUCUGCUCCCCUGGGAAAGCUAGGAAAGCACCUGUCCAGUGUGAGAAGAAUAAGAUGUUGUCUGAGCUUUAUAAAGCAGCAAUUAAGCCUCUUGCCUGUGCUUCAGCUUCCUCUGCCCUGUCCAGCUCACCCUGGUCCAGCACUCCUGGCUUCUAGUGAAUGCUCUUGUCUUCUGAAGGCUGCUGGGUCCUGUCUCCAGUCUCAUUGCCUGCUUCUCUCAGGCGUUGCAGCCACUGUGGUGAGCUCCAGAGAGCUCGAGGAAAAUACAGGAAGGCCAAGGGUCACACCAUAACAGAAACCAGGCUGUUGAUGAGCGAGGGCAUUUGAAUAAAUACCACAGCAACUGGUUUUGGAUGGCAGUGCUUUGGAAUACAGGUGGAGAAAAGUUUGUUUGUUUAAUUAAAAGAGUUAUGGUGACGAUGUCCCUGCAACCAAAGCAGUAAGAACUGUUGGGGAAAAAAAGUUGGAAAAUAAAGUUUGCAAAAAUCACCUUGGACAGAAGCUUCUUCAUUCUGUUUGGUUUGUUAGGGUAGCUGAAAAUGAACUGUAUUUUCCUCUGCAUGAUAUGUCAGUAGCUUCCCAGCAAAAAAAUAACACCAUAAGCAAUUUCUAAAAUGAUCUCUUGCCUGUGGACUCAGACAUAUCAGUCAGGUCUAGUUGCUUGGUUUUGCUGUUUUAUGUUCUGCGACACAGUCUGACAAGGAAUUUAAGCCCCUACAAGCAACUUUUCUGACCUCUGUACCACCCUGGGUUGAGAACUCAAGGCUUCAGAGCACACUCAGUUCCCGGCUCCCAAAGCAGACCACCUGACAAGGCUGGCAUUUGGGCUGCGUGAAAGCUGCUGGGUGACCUUGCUUCCCGGGUGGCAGAGGGAGGAUGUAGCUCAGCAGGGGCUGUGGCUGCAGGCUGGGGCUGUUCCGUGUGCCCAGCUGGGUGCUAUCAGCUGUGGCCACUCACCACUCCUGCACUGCUUCAAGAAUUGCUCCUGCCUUCAUCUCAGGUGUGGAGAUGUAGCUCCUGGCCAUGAAAGAAAGGCAUUUGCAUGAAGCAUUUGAAAUGCUGUUCUCCUGCACUGGUCCCUGUGCUCCCUCCCAGGGGCUCAGCCUUUCAGUCUCAAAUGUUGUGAAUGGCUGAUUGCCUCUGCUCUUCAAGGAGCCUUACUGAAGCUGUUGGGUGAGGACAUCAUUGGCGUUUCUGUUUAGAAACAUCCCAGCUCAGUUUAUGCUUUGCAGCAUUUGAUUCCGAUCAGGUUAAAUGCUGUAAAGAAACCCAGGGGAAAUGGAUGCCUUUCCCAUCUGGGCCCAGAACCCUGGCAUCAGUGCUGCUUUAUAAAGCUCAAAUGACAUUUUAUUCUGUUCACGCUGGACAGAUAUUUCCCUUACUUCCAAGCUGCAGUCUUCUGCUUUGUUGAAAAGGAUUUUUAGAUAGAUGUAAGGCUGGGUCAGUUCAGGAGUUCUCUCAGAGAACCUUGGAGAGCACGGAGCAGCUUGUGAACCUGAAGAGGGCAGCGUGUACGUGGAAAACCCCCAGCACAUGUUCCCUGCCUGGACCCGAAGCCAGGAGUGCGGUACCUUUGUGGCUGGGGGCUCCUUGGUCACAAAACGGCGGGGGGGGAGGGGCGCUCUGACAAGUUUUUGAAUUACAAGUUUUGGAAAGUACCAGGAAUGGUAAAUUCAAUGUAUUCAAUGUUUCUGCAGGUGUUGCACAGGGCCUAACCAGUCACCUUUAUGCACAGUUAGAAGAAUGGUAAUUUUACCAUGUUUGAAAUCUGCGUGAUACA
Oxyura jamaicensis (ruddy duck) is the source of this 1920-nucleotide long non-coding RNA. RefSeq lists it as uncharacterized. NCBI's taxonomy places the organism in Eukaryota, Metazoa, Chordata, Aves, Anseriformes, Anatidae. The transcript is spliced from 3 exons. The record is from RefSeq and is a predicted model, not a curated record.